This 74-nucleotide transfer RNA is filed under the name Sphaerodactylus townsendi. RNAcentral's name for it is "tRNA-Ala". The record is from RNAcentral. Lineage: Eukaryota; Metazoa; Chordata; Lepidosauria; Squamata; Sphaerodactylidae.
GGAAAGGGCAUGGCUUAGUGGUGGAGAGUCUGCUUGGCAUGCAGAAGAUCCCAUGUUCAAUCCUAGCUUUUCCA